UCUGCGUGAUGGCAAAACUGGAGCAAUUCAGUGACGCAAAGCUGCGGGUCCUACGAGGAUAGCCGGGCCGUUAAG
This 75-nucleotide non-coding RNA is filed under the name Desulfuromonadales bacterium. Its description in RNAcentral is "c-di-GMP sequence". It matches the Rfam family "c-di-GMP-I riboswitch aptamer". From Rfam's summary of the family: GEMM was predicted in a large-scale screen for bacterial structured RNA regulatory elements. Genes associated with GEMM are involved in a diverse array of functions, including chemotaxis regulation, signal transduction, secretion and chitin. The record is from RNAcentral. Lineage: Bacteria; Pseudomonadati; Thermodesulfobacteriota; Desulfuromonadia; Desulfuromonadales.